GACGAACGCUGGCGGCGUGCCUAAUACAUGCAAGUUGAGCGCUGAAGGUUGGUACUUGUACCAACUGGAUGAGCAGCGAACGGGUGAGUAACGCGUGGGGAAUCUGCCUUUGAGCGGGGGACAACAUUUGGAAACGAAUGCUAAUACCGCAUAAAAACUUUAAACACAAGUUUUAAGUUUGAAAGAUGCAAUUGCAUCACUCAAAGAUGAUCCCGCGUUGUAUUAGCUAGUUGGUGAGGUAAAGGCUCACCAAGGCGAUGAUACAUAGCCGACCUGAGAGGGUGAGCGGCCACAUUGGGACGGAGACACGGCCCAAACUCCUACGGGAGGCAGCAGUAGGGAAUCUUCGGCAAUGGACGAAAGUCUGACCGAGCAACGCCGAGGGAGUGAAGAAGGGUUUCGGAUCGUAAAACUCUGUUGGUAGAGAAGAACGUUGGUGAGAGUGGAAAGCUCAUCAAGUGACGGUAACUACCCAGAAAGGGACGGCUAACUACGUG
Molecule: ribosomal RNA, 497 nt
Filed under: uncultured bacterium
Lineage: Bacteria
Description: partial 16S ribosomal RNA
Rfam family: Bacterial small subunit ribosomal RNA
Source: RNAcentral